CAAGGAAUUUUGCGCAAUGGGGGAAACCCUGACGCAGCAACGCCGCGUGGGUGAAGAAGGCCUUCGGGUUGUAAAGCCCUUUUGAAGGGGAAGAUAAUGACGGUACCCUUCGAAUAAGCCUCGGCUAACUACGUGCCAGCAGCCGCGGUAAUACGUAGGAGGCAAGCGUUGUCCGGAUUUAUUGGGCGUAAAGGGCGCGCAGGCGGCAUAUUAAGUCAGGUGUGAAAUCUCCCGGCUCAACUGGGAGGGUGCACCUGAUACUGGUAAGCUGGAGUGCAGCAGAGGGAGAUGGAAUUCCCGGUGUAGUGGUGAAAUGCGUAGAUAUCGGGAGGAACACCAGUGGCGAAAGCGGUCUCCUGGGCUGUAACUGACGCUGAGGCGCGAAAGCGUGGGGAGCGAACCGGAUUAGAUACCCGGGUAGUCCACGCCGUAAACGAUGGACACUAGGUGUGGGGGGUAUCGGACCCCCUCCGUGCCGUAGCCAACGCAAUAAGUGUACCGCCUGGGGAGUACGGCCGC
Molecule: ribosomal RNA, 519 nt
Filed under: uncultured bacterium
Lineage: Bacteria
Description: bacterial SSU rRNA
Rfam family: Bacterial small subunit ribosomal RNA
Source: RNAcentral